UUCCAGGGGGAAUGGUUUGUCCUGGGCCUGGCGGGCAACAGCUUCAGGCCGGAGCACAGGGCGCUGCUGAACCCUUUCACCGCAACUUUCGAGCUAAGUGACGCUGGUGGCUUUGAGGUGUGGAAUGCCAUGACUCGUCGGGAGGCAGAGGCAGAAGGAUCACUUGAACUCAGGAGUUUGAGACCAGCCUGAGCAACAUAGUUAGACACCAUCUCCACUCAUGACGCUUGGCCACUCCCGCCGUGGGUCCCCCUGAAUAAGCGGCUGAAAUCUCCUGAGGGGCCCACCUUGGCAUGGACCUGCCAGCUUCCGGAGCCUUCCGCCUCCACCUGUCCCCUCCUACAGAGGCCAGCACUGUGACACGUGGUCUUAUGUGCUGAUACCAGCAGCCCAGCCCGGGCAGUUCACUGUGGACCAUGGUGUGGGCAGGAGCUGGUUGCUGCCUCCCGGGACGCUGGACCAGUUCAUCUGCCUGGGCAGAGCUCAGGGCCUCUCGGAUGACAACAUUGUCUUCCCAGAUGUGACCG
This 527-nucleotide small RNA is filed under the name Pongo abelii (Sumatran orangutan). RNAcentral describes it as "processed transcript". The record is from RNAcentral. Lineage: Eukaryota; Metazoa; Chordata; Mammalia; Primates; Hominidae.